Molecule: ribosomal RNA, 253 nt
Filed under: uncultured bacterium
Lineage: Bacteria
Description: partial 16S ribosomal RNA
Rfam family: Bacterial small subunit ribosomal RNA
Source: RNAcentral
UACGGAGGGUGCAAGCGUUGUCCGGAUUUAUUGGGUUUAAAGGGUACGUAGGCGGAUGCUUAAGUCCGGGGUGAAAGGCACUCGCUUAACGAGGGCAUUGCCUUGGAUACUGGGUAUCUUGAGUGCCGUAGAGGUAGGCGGAAUUCAUGGUGUAGCGGUGAAAUGCAUAGAUACCAUGAGGAACACCGAUAGGGAAGCCAGCUUACUGGAGGGCAACUGACGCUGAGGUACGAAAGCGUGGGGAGCGAACAGG